AAUAGAUACCCAGGUAGUCCACGCCGUAAACGAUGAGUGCUAAGUGUUAGAGGGUUUCCGCCCUUUAGUGCUGCAGCUAACGCAUUAAGCACUCCGCCUGGGGAGUACGGUCGCAAGACUGAAACUCAAAGGAAUUGACGGGGGCCCGCACAAGCGGUGGAGCAUGUGGUUUAAUUCGAAGCAACGCGAAGAACCUUACCAGGUCCUGACAUCCCACUGACCGGUAUAGAGAUAUACCUUUCCCUUCGGGGACAGUGGUGACAGGUGGUGCAUGGUUGUCGUCAGCUCGUGUCGUGAGAUGUUGGGUUAAGUCCCGCAACGAGCGCAACCCUUGAUCUUAGUUGCCAGCAUUUAGUUGGGCACUCUAAGGUGACUGCCGGUGACAAACCGGAGGAAGGUGGGGAUGACGUCAAAUCAUCAUGCCCCUUAUGACCUGGGCUACACACGUGCUACAAUGGAUGGUACAAAGGGCUGCAAGACUGCGAAGUCAAGCCAAUCCCAUAAAACCAUUCUCAGUUCGGAUUGCAGG
Molecule: ribosomal RNA, 529 nt
Filed under: uncultured bacterium
Lineage: Bacteria
Description: bacterial SSU rRNA
Rfam family: Bacterial small subunit ribosomal RNA
Source: RNAcentral